UACGUAGGGUGCAAGCGUUGUCCGGAAUUAUUGGGCGUAAAGAGCUCGUAGGCGGUCUGUCGCGUCUGCUGUGAAAACUCAGGGCUUAACCCUGAGCUUGCAGUGGGUACGGGCAGACUAGAGUGCGGUAGGGGAGACUGGAAUUCCUGGUGUAGCGGUGAAAUGCGCAGAUAUCAGGAGGAACACCGGUGGCGAAGGCGCCACUCUGGGCCGGUACUGACGCUGAGGAGCGAAAGCGUGGGUAGCAAACAGG
This 253-nucleotide ribosomal RNA is filed under the name uncultured bacterium. RNAcentral describes it as "partial 16S ribosomal RNA". It matches the Rfam family "Bacterial small subunit ribosomal RNA", at positions 524 to 776 of the family's 1533-position model. The record is from RNAcentral.